CCCCUAGUAACUGCGAGUGAAGCGGGAAAAGCUCAAAUUUAAAAUCUGGCAGGCAUUUGUCUGUCCGAGUUGUAACCUAGAGAAGUGUAACCUGUGCUGGACCGUGUACAAGUCUCCUGGAAUGGAGCAUCAUAGAGGGUGAGAAUCCCGUCUUUGACAUGGACUACCAGUGCACUAUGGUUGUGCACUCAACGAGUCGAGUUGUUUGGGAAUGCAGCUCUAAAUGGGUGGUAAAUUCCAUCUAAAGCUAAAUAUUGGCGAGAGACCGAUAGCGAACAAGUACCGUGAGGGAAAGAUGAAAAGAACUUUGGAAAGAGAGUUAAACAGUAUGUGAAAUUGUUGAAAGGGAAACGCUUGAAGUCAGCUGUGUUGGCUGGGGAUCAAGCCAGCUUAUUUGCUGGGUGUACUUCCUGGUUGACAGGCCAACAUCAGUUUUGACCAUCAGAGAAAGGCUAAGGGAAUGUGGCACCUUUACAGGUGUGUUAUAGCCCUUGGUUGUAUGUGAUGGAUGGGACUGAGGACAGCAGCGUGCCACAAGGCCGGGUUUCGACCACGUUCACGCUUUGGAUGUUGGCAUAAUGGCUUUAAGCGACCCGUCUUGAAACACGGACCAAGGAGUCUAACAUGCCUGCAAGUGUUUGGGUGGAAAACUCGAGCGCGUAAUGAAA
Molecule: ribosomal RNA, 668 nt
Filed under: Amanita albolimbata
Lineage: Eukaryota; Fungi; Basidiomycota; Agaricomycetes; Agaricales; Amanitaceae
Description: Amanita sp. JEIC-2020a partial large subunit ribosomal RNA
Rfam family: Eukaryotic large subunit ribosomal RNA
Source: RNAcentral